This 642-nucleotide long non-coding RNA is filed under the name Homo sapiens (human). RNAcentral describes it as "non-protein coding lnc-C20orf196-4:1". The record is from RNAcentral. Lineage: Eukaryota; Metazoa; Chordata; Mammalia; Primates; Hominidae.
ACUGUCAAACCAGAAACCACCCCUACUCCUAAUCCCCCUGUGAAGAGGAGAAAACAGAAUCUAAUCAGGAGGUUGCUAACCCAGAACACUAUAUUAAACAUCCUCUACAGAACAGAUGGGCACUCUGGUUUUUUUAAAAAAGAUAAAAGCAAAACUUGACAAGCAAACCUGCCGCUGAUCUCUAAGUUUGAUCCUGUUGACUUUUGGGCUCUGUACAACCAUAUCCAGUUGUCUAGUAAUUUAAUGUCUGGCUGUGACUACUCACUUUUUAAGGAUGGUGUUGAGCCCAUGUGGGAAGAUGAGAAAAACAAACAGGGAGGAUGAUGGCUAAUUUACAUUGAACAAACAGCAGAGAUGAAGGGACCUCAAUCACUUUUGGCUAGAGACUCUACUGUGUCUUAUUGGAGAAUCUUUUGAUGACUCAGUGAUGAUAUAUGUGCAGCUGUUCUUAAUGUUAGAGCUAAAGGUGAUAAGAUAGCAGUAUGGACUACUGAAUGUGAAAACAGAGAAGCUGUUACACAUAUAGAGAGGGUAUACAAGGAAAGGUUAGGACUUCCUCCAAACAUCGUGAUUGGUUAUCAGUCCCAUGCAGACACAGCUACUAAAAACAGCUCCACCACUAAAAAUAGGUUUGUUGUUUAA